AGCGCCCAGAGCAGAAGCAGGACCAGCAUUGUCUUCACAUGCAGCCCCGGGACCACAGCCCAUGCAUGGCCCCUCAGCAGACAACAUAGUGGUGCUAUUUAAUAUCUAUAGGAAGCUGCUGAGGAAGAUUUGGGACAAGAUGUCACAGACCAAGUCAAUCUUGAAGAUCUUCAGAGGAAAUCCUCCUGGUCCUUCUACAAGCAGCAGAUUGUCACUUGGUGACAAUGUGAAAGUGGACCUUCUCAGUGAUAGCUCCUACCCUCUGGAAUGCCAUCCCUCCGGAACAAAGGAAUCUACCUUCUACCGACUCUGGCCAUUUGAUACCAUCUAGCUCAAUACUGAUGACAUGGACUAGCAUUGGCUCACCAUGAUUCCAAGCAAUAGACUUUUCCAGAGGUUGAAUUUUGGACCUUUGCAUGAAAAGCACAUGCCCUAUCACUCAACUACAGCCCUUACUCUGUUUAAAAAAUAAGCCCCACUGAAUACAUUGGAACUUGCUUCUAAUGGGGAAGCAUGCAGAGGACUGCAACCUCAAGUAAUGUGGCUACACGGAAGACUGCUGGAGGAG
This is a long non-coding RNA of Rhineura floridana, 568 nucleotides long. RefSeq lists it as uncharacterized. The transcript is spliced from 4 exons. Lineage: Eukaryota; Metazoa; Chordata; Lepidosauria; Squamata; Rhineuridae. The record is from RefSeq and is a predicted model, not a curated record.